GCUUUCCUGUGGCUCGGUUGUUAGAGCAUUGCGCUAACAAUGAAAAAGUCAUGGGUUCAAAUCCAAGGGAAAGUA
Molecule: transfer RNA, 75 nt
Filed under: Danionella cerebrum
Lineage: Eukaryota; Metazoa; Chordata; Actinopteri; Cypriniformes; Danionidae
Description: tRNA-Val
Source: RNAcentral